Molecule: long non-coding RNA, 3001 nt
Organism: Cynoglossus semilaevis (tongue sole)
Lineage: Eukaryota; Metazoa; Chordata; Actinopteri; Pleuronectiformes; Cynoglossidae
Exons: 8
Source: RefSeq, a predicted model, not a curated record
CAUGUUAGACCACUAGGUGGCGCUUCGCAUUUAUAGUAGUAUGGAAUUUUCGCGAACACAGGAAGAAUAAAUCCUGCUGCCGAGAUGAUAACGCCAGCAAAACGUGUAUCUCCUUUAUUCUUACCACAGGUAUAAAAGGACCCAGAGGCCAGGUCUUCUUCACCUGUGAGGCUGCUGUAUGAGUUGUGUUCCUUUAUGGCGGACGUCAACAUUGUCUCAUUUCCCCAUGGUCUACACCGGGUUGACCACAUUGCUGCCCUUAUUACCACCAAAGUAACCCCCAAUUAAUAAGGGAGGCUGAAAGGAGCCAGCAGGUUCAAACAUCGCUCCUCAUCUUCAAACGUCCUGCGUUCAUCUCAGCUGCUGCCAGUGCCUCUGACAUUGUUCCGACCCUUGUUCUGAAAGCAGAGAGCUACCACAGAACACGAAUGUCCUUGUCCUCAAAGACACCCUCUGACUAGGACACCUCAGAAACAGGAUGUGCAUGAUGUGAUUGGGCUGCAGCUGACAGAACGUUCUCUUUGUGCGUCCCUGGUGCAUGGCUGAUUAAUUGAUUGAUCUGCUGUGCACGUGGAGAACACAGGAAGUCAUCACUCGGCCAGUGAAGGAACCGAGUCGUGCAGGUUGUUGUCUGGACUCACAGCUGAGAGAUCACAGCAGCAAGACUCCGUCCUCCUCAGUCCUCCUCAGUCCGGCCUCUUCAACUCCGUGAGCAUUCGGCCCUUUUUACUCCAGAAGAUGGAAAACGUGGAGCCUCUAAUCUGCCUCUGUCAUCUCCAUCUCUGACGACUGCUGGUGCGAGCGUCGUCACAGCAGCCAGACGUGACCCUCAUCCCGCUGCUCACUGAGAGCUUGAUUUCAUGGUGAAGAACGGACGCGCCGACACCUGCGUUUUCAGCUGGAGCUGGAGCUGCUGUCUUCCUUGUGUUUUUUCCUUGGAUGGAGAAAAUAUUUUUUCCGUGAAGUUAACCCUUACCCGUUGCGGUAUUAUUUUCUUAUUCACCUAAAACAAGAUAUGAUGUAAACCAAAGUUACAUCAGAUCAUACAGAUAUUUCUACUGUUGCCAGAAGGAAAUAAAGAUACAAAAAAAUACAACCUUAGCUUGGACGUAGUCUUAAGAACCUGAGACGGCUGACUUAAGGGAGUACACCAAAGAGUUGGUUAAAAUAAAAAGUCCAUAUAUUUGGAGAUGCUCAUUGUUUGUGUAUUCUAUUUAAAACUAAGAAAUAUUUCAGAGCAUCACAAUAGUUUGCAAAAAAAGAUAGAGAUUUCUGACACAGCUUUUCUCCGUCAGCAGCUUCACUGAUACUCUGUCCCUUGGCUGGUUCUCAUUUCUGUACUUUCUGUAGAGUUUGCAGAACAAAUUCCAAAUAUCCCUGUUACAUCCUCUAGCUGGUGCUGAAAGGUCACGGCUGGUGAAAAAGCAUAAGCGCUGGAUGUGUUUUGAUGUUCAGUGUUACCUAUUCCCGCUCCGUAACCCCCUUGAGCCCCUCUGAUCUACUCCUGGGCUCAUUAAAACACCCUCUCCACCUCCACAUUAGCAUCAGAGUCAUGGUCAGACUGCUUUGUGUUAUAAGGGUGAAAAACAAUAUCAAUAACAACAACAAAAACAAUGGUAGCCUUUGGUCCAGGUCUUUGAUAAUGUACAUCAAAGAGAGAGAGACACUGAAGAGAGCUGUGUUUUCACUGUACACAUGCCAAGGUCCUCUCUGAUCCUGGUCAUGUGGUGUUAGCGCUCGGGUCUGAUGAUGUAAGUCGAGGUGCUGGGUCUGCACCGUGUGUCCCCAAGGACGAAAAUUUAAAUUUUGAACCCAAAAAAACCCCUGACAUUGGUAAAAAUGUUGACAUCGAUCUUUUAUGUGUGAGGCUGUGACUGGAGGUUCAACUCCAGGUCCACAGAGGGUUGAAACAACAGAAAGGUUGAGAAAAUUGGUUCAGUAAAGAGUGAUCGGAGAUGGAAAGACUCAGGACUCCAGAGCUACAGAUGUUACAUUUUUGACUCUUUUGACAGGAUUUUGUGGUUUAAAUUUCUAGUUGUGUGUCUUGACCUGUAGGAAAUAAAAUAAAUUGUUAUCCUAUUUAGAGGAAAUGAUUGAUAUUUAGCUUAUCACCUUGUCAUUUUCUUGUAUUCCUGACUGUGGAUCCUGUGAGUGUUGCAGGAGAAGUUUAAGGUAAAUGACAGAAUGGGUUUGAUUAGCAAUUCAACAACUUGUUCUUUUGUUUUCUGCUUGGUGCUGUUCAUUUGUUUGAACUUUUCAGUAACAACACAUCCCUAUACUGUGAAGGUGUAAUUAAGACAUCUGUGGGCUGCCAUUCAUUAAACACUUCAAGAGGAAAUUUCAAUUGCCAAAUUUUUCAAGAAGUGAAACUAAAAAUAUUUGUUUUCUCCCCCCGGGAUGGCAUGGUGGAGUUCUGGGGUUUGUAGCUCAUGAAGUGUGCAAUGUGGAUGUGAAACUCCGCUCACUGUGCAGUGAAUAAGCGUUAGCUCCAGAGCUGCAUGUCACCAUUAACCUGCUGUGUUUAAAGGUACUGCCUGUAUUUAUUUAAUUAGACGCCACUGCGAGGCAGCUUUGAUUGACGUGUGGGCUGAUGCAGGCAGUCCUGCCUGCUGCCGAAAACCUUCACAGCGUCACAGUGACAUGUUCAGGAGUGUUCUUUUGUCACGCCGCUCUCAAAUUGCUCAUUAUAAAUUCUGCCACUUCUUCUCCUUAUCACCCUGCUGAAUAAUCACAGCUUUGUAUUUUUAACUUGUGCACAAACACUGUGUGCCUCAUCAUGGGCCGAUAAUGAAUAAAAGAGAAAAAGAAAAAGAGGCAAACCGUCGAUGUACAGUCGUUAUCUCCACCUAGAUAGAAAAUGUACACGUUCAAAGUCCGGCCCCCAGCUGCUGGUAUUUCCUCUGGAUGGGUUUCACGUGGUUAAAUGGGAUGUUUGUGCUUUGGCAUUGGACAGUUGUGCUUUUUAUACAGGAAAAUGACAAAAAAAGUCAAUGGAUUUCAG